RNAcentral lists this ribosomal RNA (465 nucleotides) under uncultured bacterium. RNAcentral describes it as "partial 16S ribosomal RNA". It matches the Rfam family "Bacterial small subunit ribosomal RNA", at positions 28 to 507 of the family's 1533-position model. The record is from RNAcentral.
GACGAACGCUGGCGGCGUGCUUAACGCAUGCAAGUCGAACGGAGAGGCCCUGCUUGCAGGGUACUCGAGUGGCGAACGGGUGAGUAACACGUGGGUGAUCUGCCCUGCACUUCGGGAUAAGCCUGGGAAACUGGGUCUAAUACCGGAUAGGAGCCAUUUUUAGUGUGAUGGUUGGAAAGUUUUUUCGGUGUAGGAUGAGCUCGCGGCCUAUCAGCUUGUUGGUGGGGUAAUGGCCUACCAAGGCGGCGACGGGUAGCCGGCCUGAGAGGGUGGACGGCCACAUUGGGACUGAGAUACGGCCCAGACUCCUACGGGAGGCAGCAGUGGGGAAUAUUGCACAAUGGGCGCAAGCCUGAUGCAGCGACGCCGCGUGGGGGAUGACGGCCUUCGGGUUGUAAACUCCUUUCGCUAGGGACGAAGCUUUUUGUGACGGUACCUAGAUAAGAAGCACCGGCUAACUACGUG